CCUACGGGAGGCAGCAGUGAGGAAUAUUGGUCAAUGGACGAGAGUCUGAACCAGCCAAGUAGCGUGAAGGAUGACUGCCCUAUGGGUUGUAAACUUCUUUUAUAUGGGAAUAAAAUGUUCCACGUGUGGGAUUUUGUAUGUACCAUAUGAAUAAGGAUCGGCUAACGCCGUGCCAGCAGCCGCGGUAAUACGGGGGAUCCGAGCGUUAUCCGGAUUUAUUUGGUUUAAAGGGAGCGUAGGUGGAGUGUUAAGUCAGUUGUGAAAGUUUGCGGCUCAACGGUAAAAUUGCAGUUGAAACUGGCAGUCUUGAGUACAGUAGAGGUGGGCGGAAUUCGUGGUGUAGCGGUGAAAUGCUUAGAUAUCACGAAGAACUCCGAUUGCGAAGGCAGCUCACUGGACUGCAACUGACACUGAGGCUCGAAAGUGUGGGGAGCAAACAGGAUUAGAUACCCCAGUAGUC
Molecule: ribosomal RNA, 460 nt
Filed under: uncultured bacterium
Lineage: Bacteria
Description: partial 16S ribosomal RNA
Rfam family: Bacterial small subunit ribosomal RNA
Source: RNAcentral